Trichonephila inaurata madagascariensis is the source of this 73-nucleotide non-coding RNA. Lineage: Eukaryota; Metazoa; Arthropoda; Arachnida; Araneae; Nephilidae. The record is from the annotation of a GenBank genome assembly.
GUCCCUGUAGCGCAAUGGACAGAGUGUUGGACUUCUAAUCCAAAGGUCAUGGGUUCGAAUCCCGAUUGGGAUG